UGGGGAAUAUUGCACAAUGGGCGCAAGCCUGAUGCAGCCAUGCCGCGUGUGUGAAGAAGGCCUUCGGGUUGUAAAGCACUUUCAGCGAGGAGGAAGGUGGUGAACUUAAUACGUUCAUCAAUUGACGUUACUCGCAGAAGAAGCACCGGCUAACUCCGUGCCAGCAGCCGCGGUAAUACGGAGGGUGCAAGCGUUAAUCGGAAUUACUGGGCGUAAAGCGCACGCAGGCGGUUUGUUAAGUCAGAUGUGAAAUCCCCGGGCUCAACCUGGGAACUGCAUUUGAAACUGGCAAGCUAGAGUCUCGUAGAGGGGGGUAGAAUUCCAGGUGUAGCGGUGAAAUGCGUAGAGAUCUGGAGGAAUACCGGUGGCGAAGGCGGCCCCCUGGACGAAGACUGACGCUCAGGUGCGAAAGCGUGGGGAGCAAAACAGGAUUAGAUACCCUGGUAGUCCACGCUGUAAAACGAUGUCGAUUUGGAGGUUGUGCCCUUGAGGCGUGGCUUCCGGAGCUAACGCGUUAAAUCGACCGCCUGGGGAGUACGGCC
This 542-nucleotide ribosomal RNA is filed under the name uncultured bacterium. RNAcentral describes it as "partial 16S ribosomal RNA". It matches the Rfam family "Bacterial small subunit ribosomal RNA", at positions 355 to 887 of the family's 1533-position model. The record is from RNAcentral.